RNAcentral lists this ribosomal RNA (485 nucleotides) under uncultured bacterium. RNAcentral's name for it is "partial 16S ribosomal RNA". It matches the Rfam family "Bacterial small subunit ribosomal RNA", at positions 28 to 523 of the family's 1533-position model. The record is from RNAcentral.
GAUGAACGCUAGCGGCAGGCCUAAUACAUGCAAGUCGAACGGUGUCUUCGGACAUAGUGGCGCACGGGUGCGUAACACGUAUGCAACCUACCUUACAUUGGGGGAUAGCCUUUCGAAAGGGAGAUUAAUACCGCAUAAGACAGUAGCUGGGCAUCCAGCAGCUGUUAAAGAUUUAUCGAUGUAAGCUGGGCAUGCGUCCAAUUAGCUAGUUGGUGAGGUAACGGCUCACCAAGGCAAUGAUUGGUAGGGGAACUGAGAGGUCAAUCCCCCACACUGGCACUGAGAUACGGGCCAGACUCCUACGGGAGGCAGCAGUAGGGAAUAUUGGGCAAUGGACGCAAGUCUGACCCAGCCAUGCCGCGUGCAGGAUGAAGGCGUUAUGCGUUGUGAACUGCUUUUAUACAGGAAGAAACUACUCUUGCGAGAGGCAUUGACGGUACUGUAUGAAUAAGCACCGGCUAACUCCGUGCCAGCCGCCGCGGUAA